GAUGAACGCUGGCGGCGUGCUUAACACAUGCAAGUCGAACGGAAAGGCUCCUGCUUGCAGGGGUACUCGAGUGGCGAACGGGUGAGUAACACGUGGGUGAUCUGCCCUGCACUUCGGGAUAAGCCUGGGAAACUGGGUCUAAUACCGGAUAGGACGAUGGUUUGGAUGCCCUUGUGGAAAGUUUUUCGGUGUGGGUUGAGCUCGCGGCCUAUCAGCUUGUUGGUGGGGUAAUGGCCUACCAAGGCGUUGACGGGGAGCCGGCCUGAGAGGGUGUACGGGCACCUUGGGACUAAGGUACGGCCCAGACUCCUACGGGAGGCAGCAGUGGGGAAUAUUGCACAAUGGGCGCAAGCCUGAUGCAGCGACGCCGCGUGGGGGAUGACGGCCUUCGGGUUGUAAACUCCUUUCGCUAGGGACGAAGCGCAAGUGACGGUACCUGGAGAAGAAGCACCGGCUAACUACGUG
RNAcentral lists this ribosomal RNA (465 nucleotides) under uncultured bacterium. Its description in RNAcentral is "partial 16S ribosomal RNA". It matches the Rfam family "Bacterial small subunit ribosomal RNA", at positions 28 to 507 of the family's 1533-position model. The record is from RNAcentral.